GAUUUACUUUAUUACACUGAUGAAUACCACUCCAGUUUGUAUGUCAAAGGGUUGCUGUCUGAUACUUUCUUACUGUAUACAACUGAAAUAUUGUGAUUUACUUUAUUACACUGAUGAAUACCACUCCAGUUUGUAUGCCAAAGGGUUGCUGUCUGAUACUUCGUAACUGUAUACAACUGAAAUAUUGUGAUUUACUUCAUUA
This 202-nucleotide long non-coding RNA is filed under the name Mytilus galloprovincialis (Mediterranean mussel). Lineage: Eukaryota; Metazoa; Mollusca; Bivalvia; Mytilida; Mytilidae. The record is from RNAcentral.